UGCUCGCUUUGGCAGCACGUCAUUAAAAUUGGAACGAGGCAGAGAUUAGCAUGGCCCCUGUGCAAGGAUGACACGCAAAUUCAUGAAGCGUUCCAUAUUUUU
Molecule: small nuclear RNA, 102 nt
Organism: Pipistrellus kuhlii (Kuhl's pipistrelle)
Lineage: Eukaryota; Metazoa; Chordata; Mammalia; Chiroptera; Vespertilionidae
Source: RefSeq, a predicted model, not a curated record